UACGAAGGGGGCUAGCGUUGCUCGGAAUCACUGGGCGUAAAGCGCACGUAGGCGGCUUCUUAAGUCGGUGGUGAAAUCCUGGAGCUCAACUCCAGAACUGCCUCCGAUACUGAGAAGCUUGAGUCCGGGAGAGGUGAGUGGAACUGCGAGUGUAGAGGUGAAAUUCGUAGAUAUUCGCAAGAACACCAGUGGCGAAGGCGGCUCACUGGCCCGGUACUGACGCUGAGGUGCGAAAGCGUGGGGAGCAAACAGG
RNAcentral lists this ribosomal RNA (253 nucleotides) under uncultured bacterium. RNAcentral's name for it is "partial 16S ribosomal RNA". It matches the Rfam family "Bacterial small subunit ribosomal RNA", at positions 524 to 776 of the family's 1533-position model. The record is from RNAcentral.